Molecule: small nucleolar RNA, 115 nt
Filed under: Echinops telfairi (small Madagascar hedgehog)
Lineage: Eukaryota; Metazoa; Chordata; Mammalia; Afrosoricida; Tenrecidae
Description: Small nucleolar RNA SNORA61 (ENSETEG00000026932.1)
Source: RNAcentral
AACUUCCAGAUUCCUUACUCCUCAGAUCUUAAUCUGAGUGGCUGAAAAAGGAGGAAGAGUAAAACUGAAGUGGACCUGGAAUCAUUAGUGAAAUACAAGUUCAUUUUCAACAUUA